UGCCGAGUCGUCUAAUGGUAGGACAACGGACUUUGGAUCCGUUUAUUCUGGUUCGAAUCCAGGCUCGGCAGCCA
RNAcentral lists this transfer RNA (74 nucleotides) under Candidatus Levybacteria bacterium RIFCSPHIGHO2_01_FULL_38_26. RNAcentral's name for it is "tRNA-Gln". It matches the Rfam family "tRNA". From Rfam's summary of the family: Transfer RNA (tRNA) molecules are approximately 80 nucleotides in length. The record is from RNAcentral. Lineage: Bacteria; Candidatus Levyibacteriota.